Ovis aries (sheep) is the source of this 72-nucleotide transfer RNA. It matches the Rfam family "tRNA". From Rfam's summary of the family: Transfer RNA (tRNA) molecules are approximately 80 nucleotides in length. Their secondary structure includes four short double-helical elements and three loops (D, anti-codon, and T loops). The record is from Rfam. NCBI's taxonomy places the organism in Eukaryota, Metazoa, Chordata, Mammalia, Artiodactyla, Bovidae.
UUCCUGGUGGCUCAGAGGUUAAAGCGUCUGCCUGCAAUGCAGGAGACCCAGGUUCGAUCCCUAGGUCGGAAG